UUUCCGUAGGUGAACCUGCGGAAGGAUCAUUAAUGAGUUGUCAUGGGGUUCGAUGCUGGCAGCCAAUUUUUGGAUGCAUGUGCUUGCCCUAACAAUCAUCUUCCAAACACCUGUGCACAUUUUUGAGGGAGUCUUGAGUUGGUUGCCGCUCUUGGGUGAUUUUCUCACAUACCCUUAAAUCAUUAUACGCUAUUAACAAUGUUGAACGUGCUCUGUGCCGCAAGGCUAUUAAUAUAAUACAACUUUUAACAACGGAUCUCUUGGCUCUC
Molecule: unclassified non-coding RNA, 269 nt
Filed under: plant metagenome
Description: partial contains small subunit ribosomal RNA, internal transcribed spacer 1, and 5.8S ribosomal RNA
Source: RNAcentral